This 468-nucleotide ribosomal RNA is filed under the name uncultured bacterium. RNAcentral's name for it is "partial 16S ribosomal RNA". It matches the Rfam family "Bacterial small subunit ribosomal RNA", at positions 28 to 507 of the family's 1533-position model. The record is from RNAcentral.
GACGAACGCUGGCGGCGUGCUUAACACAUGCAAGUCGAACGGAAAGGCCCUGCUUUUGUGGGGUGCUCGAGUGGCGAACGGGUGAGUAAGACGUGAGUAACCUGCCCUUCAUUUUGGUGUAACUUCAGGUAACUGGGGCUAAUAUCGGAUAGGAUCUGCUGCUGCAUGGUGGGGGUUGGAAAGUUUCGGCGGUUGUGGAUGGACGCGCGGCUUAUGAGCUUGUUGGUGGGGGAGUCGCUUACCAAGGCUUUGACGGGUAGCCGGCCGGAGAGGGUGACCGGCGACAAUGGGACUGCGAGAGGGCGCAGACGCGUACGGUAGGCAGCAGUGGGGAACAUUGCACAGCGGGCCGACGUCGGUGGAGGCAGCGCCCCGUGCGUGAUGACCGUCUUUUGGGAGUAAACCGCUUCAGCCUGUGACGAAGCGGGAGUGACGGUAAUGGGAAAAGAAGCACCGGCUAACUACGUG